AUCUGGGCGGCGGAAUUCAGGAUGGCGGGCGCGUCUUCGCGACGCGUUCGUCGUUUGAUAUUUCCGUCGCCGAACCUAACCGCAGACGUCGCGACCUGUUCGCGGUCGGUCCCUGCUCGGAGGAGCCGCGUUCGAGUUCGUUGUGUGCGCGUUUCUGCGCGUUACACGGCGAAGGCGCGGAUCUCUGGCCGGCCGACGGACAGUACGCUAAACGGUGUCCGAUGUCGUCGUCUCGUACGCGCGCGCAUCGGUACCGGUCGGCGACGAAUUCUUCGGGCCUCUUUCCGACCCGUCUUGAAACACGGACCAAGGAGUCUAACAUGCGCGCGAGUCGCGGGGUGUCGAGCGUACCACGGUGCGUUCGUUACGUUGCGAAACCCGUACAUGUCGAAGGCGUAAUGAAAGUAAAUGGGGAAGAUGGUGUUCCGAGUACACGUUCCGCGGUCACUGAUGCCGCGGCCGGACACCCGCAUUCCCGGGGCGUCUCAACGGCCCGUCGCGAACGCGGACAGUCGUCUCUCGGGGCGGCUGUCGGUCUGCGACGAACCGA
Molecule: ribosomal RNA, 550 nt
Filed under: Parlatoria ziziphi (black parlatoria scale)
Lineage: Eukaryota; Metazoa; Arthropoda; Insecta; Hemiptera; Diaspididae
Description: eukaryotic LSU rRNA
Source: RNAcentral